This 253-nucleotide ribosomal RNA is filed under the name uncultured bacterium. RNAcentral describes it as "partial 16S ribosomal RNA". It matches the Rfam family "Bacterial small subunit ribosomal RNA", at positions 524 to 776 of the family's 1533-position model. The record is from RNAcentral.
UACGGAGGGUGCAAGCGUUAUCCGGAUUCACUGGGUUUAAAGGGUGCGUAGGUGGCUUUGUAAGUCAGUGGUGAAAUCCCGGAGCUCAACUCCGGAACUGCCAUUGAUACUGCUUAGCUUGAAUUAGGUUGAGGUGGAUGGAAUAAUACAUGUAGCGGUGAAAUGCUUAGAUAUGUAUUAGAACACCGAUUGCGAAGGCAGUUCACCAAGCCUAUAUUGACACUGAGGCACGAAAGCGUGGGGAUCAAACAGG